ACAGCUACGACUGGGUCCUUCGAGGCGCU
This 29-nucleotide small RNA is filed under the name Bombyx mori (domestic silkworm). RNAcentral describes it as "ovarian small RNA-11113". The record is from RNAcentral. Lineage: Eukaryota; Metazoa; Arthropoda; Insecta; Lepidoptera; Bombycidae.